RNAcentral lists this unclassified non-coding RNA (163 nucleotides) under soil metagenome. RNAcentral's name for it is "partial internal transcribed spacer 1". The record is from RNAcentral.
GUGAAUUGAAUAUGUUAGCGGACCUCUUCGGAGUCCCUAGCAUCAAAUCAUAUCCAUAAACACCUGUGAACUGUAAGGCUGUCUUGAAAACGAAAGUGAUUAGAGCGCCUGCCCAUUUUAUACAAACAUUAAAGUAACAAACGUAGUCUUAUUAUAAUCUAAU